RNAcentral lists this ribosomal RNA (465 nucleotides) under uncultured bacterium. RNAcentral's name for it is "partial 16S ribosomal RNA". It matches the Rfam family "Bacterial small subunit ribosomal RNA", at positions 338 to 795 of the family's 1533-position model. The record is from RNAcentral.
CCUACGGGAGGCAGCAGUGGGGAAUAUUGCGCAAUGGGCGAAAGCCUGACGCAGCGACGCCGCGUGAGGGAUGAAGGUCCUCGGAUCGUAAACCUCCGUUAGCAGGGAAGAACGGUCACUGUGCUAAUCAGCAGUGAAUUGACGGUACCUGCAAAGGAAGCACCGGCUCACUCCGUGCCAGCAGCCGCGGCAAUACGGAGGGUGCGAGCGUUAAUCGGAAUUACUGGGCGUAAAGCGCUCGUAGGCGGUAUGUCAAGUCAAGGGUGAAAUCCCCGCGCUCAACGUGGGAACUGCCUUUGAAACUGGCAGACUGGAGUGUGUGAGAGGAUAGUGGAAUUCCAGGUGUAGGAGUGAAAUCCGUAGAUAUCUGGAAGAACAUCAGUGGCGAAGGCGACUAUCUGGCACAUAACUGACGCUGAGGAGCGAAAGCGUGGGUAGCAAACAGGAUUAGAUACCCCGGUAGUC